Molecule: transfer RNA, 77 nt
Filed under: Clostridiales bacterium
Lineage: Bacteria; Bacillati; Bacillota; Clostridia; Eubacteriales
Description: tRNA-Val
Rfam family: tRNA
About the family: Transfer RNA (tRNA) molecules are approximately 80 nucleotides in length. Their secondary structure includes four short double-helical elements and three loops (D, anti-codon, and T loops). Further hydrogen bonds mediate the characteristic L-shaped molecular structure. tRNAs have two regions of fundamental functional importance: the anti-codon, which is responsible for specific mRNA codon recognition, and the 3' end, to which the tRNAs corresponding amino acid is attached (by aminoacyl-tRNA synthetases). tRNAs cope with the degeneracy of the genetic code in two manners: having more than one tRNA (with a specific anti-codon) for a particular amino acid; and 'wobble' base-pairing, i.e. permitting non-standard base-pairing at the 3rd anti-codon position.
Source: RNAcentral
GGAGGCAUAGCUCAGUCGGUUAGAGCGCUCGCUUCACAUGCGAGAGGUCGAGAGUUCGAGUCUCCCUGUCUCCACCA